This 446-nucleotide ribosomal RNA is filed under the name uncultured bacterium. RNAcentral's name for it is "bacterial SSU rRNA". It matches the Rfam family "Bacterial small subunit ribosomal RNA", at positions 1052 to 1504 of the family's 1533-position model. The record is from RNAcentral.
UCGUCAGCUCGUGUCGUGAGAUGUUGGGUUAAGUCCCGCAACGAGCGCAACCCUUGCUAUUAGUUGCUACGCAAGAGCACUCUAAUAGGACUGCCGUUGACAAAACGGAGGAAGGUGGGGACGACGUCAAAUCAUCAUGCCCCUUAUGACCUGGGCUACACACGUACUACAAUGGGCGUUAACAGAGGGAAGCAAAAUAGCGAUAUGGAGCGAACCCCUAAAAACGUUCUCAGUUCAGAUUGCAGGCUGCAACCCGCCUGCAUGAAGUCGGAAUUGCUAGUAAUCGCGGAUCAGCAUGCCGCGGUGAAUACGUUCCCGGGCCUUGUACACACCGCCCGUCACACCAUGGGAGCCGGUAAUACCCGAAGUCAGUAGUUCAACCGCAAGGAGAGCGCUGCCGAAGGUAGGAUUGGCGACUGGGGUGAAGUCGUAACAAGGUAGCCGUA